RNAcentral lists this ribosomal RNA (253 nucleotides) under uncultured bacterium. Its description in RNAcentral is "partial 16S ribosomal RNA". It matches the Rfam family "Bacterial small subunit ribosomal RNA", at positions 524 to 776 of the family's 1533-position model. The record is from RNAcentral.
UACGUAGGGUGCAAGCGUUGUCCGGAUUUAUUGGGCGUAAAGAGCUCGUAGGCGGUCUGUCGCGUCGGAUGUGAAAACCCAGGGCUCAACCCUGGGCCUGCAUUCGAUACGGGCAGACUAGAGUGUGGCAGGGGAGACUGGAAUUCCUGGUGUAGCGGUGAAAUGCGCAGAUAUCAGGAGGAACACCGGUGGCGAAGGCGGUGGUCUGGGCCGGUACUGACGCUGAGGAGCGAAAGCGUGGGGAGCGAACAGG